Molecule: ribosomal RNA, 623 nt
Filed under: uncultured fungus
Lineage: Eukaryota; Fungi
Description: eukaryotic LSU rRNA
Rfam family: 5.8S ribosomal RNA (bases 211-364)
Source: RNAcentral
GGAAGGAUCAUUAUCGUAUAACAGAGGCAUUCCGAGCUGUCGCUGUCCUUACCAGGUCGUGCACGCCUAGAGUGUUCUCAUUUACACAUCUAUCUCACCCUUCGUGCAUCGCCGCGUGGGCUCCCCUUUGAUUCAAAGGAGGUCUACGUUUUUACAACAAACUUUGUAAUAAUGGAUGUCUUACAUUUUGCGGUCACACGCAAUCAAUACAACUUUCAACAACGGAUCUCUUGGCUCUCGCAUCGAUGAAGAACGCAGCGAAAUGCGAUACGUAAUGUGAAUUGCAGAAUUCAGUGAAUCAUCGAAUCUUUGAACGCACCUUGCACCCCUUGGCAUUCCGAGGGGUACACCCGUUUGAGUGUCGUGAAAUUCUCAACCAUCUCUAUUUUGGGGAUGGCUUGGACUUUGGAGGUUUUUGCUGGCAUCGGUAAAGGCCAGCUCCUCUUAAAUGAAUUAGUGGGGUUCUUUUAACCGACCCCCUCGACGUGAUAAGAUUUCUUACGUCUGAGGUUUGGCUCCAAGACCCACUUCUAAUCGUCUCUCUUGGAGACGCGAUUUGAACCCCUUGACCUCAAAUCGGGUGAGACUACCCGCUGAACUUAAGCAUAUCAAUAAGCGGAGGA